Long non-coding RNA from Amphibalanus amphitrite, 1046 nucleotides. RefSeq lists it as uncharacterized. The transcript has 2 exons. The record is from RefSeq and is a predicted model, not a curated record. Lineage: Eukaryota; Metazoa; Arthropoda; Thecostraca; Balanomorpha; Balanidae.
UUAUGUUCGGUUUUGAGAAUUGAUUUUUUGUGUUAUUUAAUUUUAUAUGCUGUUUAUUUGUUCAGCCGUAGGUGACAGGCAUAGAACGGUCAUUUUCUAUUUGUAAACGAUUUUACCUGCGUUUUGGAGUACCUACUUCAUAGAAGAGCAUUUCAAUUUAGUGCUUGAUUGUGUCAGAAUAUGUGUGCUAAAAUGCAAUAUUUUGCUUCAUUAGAUUCGCUGUCCCCUGAAGUUUGUGAGGAUUUGUCAACAGUAAUUUUUUAUCUUAUAUAUAGGAAAAUAUUCCCAAGAAGGCACUGAAUUCAUAUCAAUAUAGCACUCGUACAUGUGGUGAUUGUUGGUGGUGUGUAUCCCGUACCGUGAAGCUUGAAAGCCUACUUAUAUGCCACAAUUUUUAAUAUUCAAGUUGAUUUUUAAUGAUGAAAUUAUGAAAGUUGUUCAGAACCUUGCACGGACUGGUUUACGUAUGGAAUGAUAAAUAAACAGUUCUCAUGAAUCCAAACAAAAAUAUGGCACAUGCUCAUGAGAACAUUUACUGCAGGUCUUUGACCAUUUGCUGGAAAAUGCCUUCCGCCAGCUGUCCGGUAAAGUCUUCAGACCUGAGGCAUCAUCCUGUUAUCACUCUGAAUAGCUUGGUGAGGUUGCUGAAGGCCUCUAUUACUGCUUCCUCUGAGGCUCUGACCCUAAGGUGCUUGAGCAAUAAGCAUUUUGGACUUUAAAGGAGGGAGUGAAUUUUCUGAUCCCUUGUUUUCUUGGCAGGUGAUUUAUCGCUGCUUAGGGCCAGCGGCCCAUCGGACAGCCUUGAGAAGACCGCCGCACGCUGUUUGCAGUCCGUCGACCACCUGUCUUCAACGGACGGACGCCCUCGGUCCCACUCAGCAAUUGACUGAAGCCUAUCGCGCCGAUAUGCUCGCCCAUCUUCCAUCCUCGCCCUGCCUGAUGGUUUCGACGACCCGGGCUGUGGUCCCUGAGGUUCGGAACCCGUCUCGCUGGCCUGCCAGCAGGAGGCCUGGCGCUCGUCGCAGACGAGCGCUGCAGUGUGGCCA